CCUAUAAAGGCCAGACCAGCUUCAGCCUUAGGCUAAUUUCUCCUAAGGGUGUGUAGUGGUUUUGAGGGUUUUUAAAAUUGUUGUUGUUAUGUUUUUAUUUUAUUUUACUUUAUUUUUAAAUAGAGAUGAGGUCUUGCUAUGUUGUCCAGGCUGGUCUCAAACUCCUGGGCUCAAGCAAUUUGCCUGUCUUGGCCUCCCAAAGUGCUGGGAUUGCAGACGUGAGCCAUUGCUAUAUGUUGGCCCUUGCUAUAUUUUAAAUAGUUAAAAAUACUGUUUUUUUUUUUUUUCUUGCUGAAUACUUACUUAGGGAAAUUGGUUUGUGUCUGUGGCAAAGGAAUUCAACAAUGUUUUCUUUCAUUUUCAGGUCACACGAUUUUAAGAAAAUAGAAGACUAUCAUUUACAGCUGGUGUGGCCCUGUGGCGGUGUGGACCCAGAUUUCAAGCACAGAGGAAGAUCAGACACUGAUGUCCCGCAUCUGAUAUGUAUAUAACACAAUUCUCAAUUAUCCUUUGAUUGUGUUUUACUCCCUUCUGUACAAUAGACUCAUUUUUAAAGCAAAAGUUGAAGAAAGUGAACAAAAACAGCAGUGGAAAGUUCAUAAAAGACAAAUGAAGAAUUCAGAGCCCAAUCCUAACCUCAAGCCAAGAAGUAAGAAAAGGAAGAAAAAAUCAAGAAACUCAGAACAGAACCCCAGCAACAUUGAACCAAGGAGCAUGGACUCUCAGGCUGUUCAUAGAUUUCAGGAUCUUUUCCACUACUUCCACAGGCAGAUAGAGGGCCAUCCCCACCACCGUCUCUACCACCACCGUCUCUUCCCAGAGGAGUUUUUACUCUUCCUCCAACUCCUUUACCUGAGCUAAGUGGUAAACCAUCAUCAUCACCAUCACCUUUGGAGACCUCCUCUACCACCACCUUUGUUGAGAGACCUACUCUCCAGGAUCCCCACCUGCUCUGUCUUAUGGAGUGAAACAGAAAUAAAUGUGUAAGACUCAAUUACAUAUGUUGAUUCUUGAACUACAUGAGAAUUCUCCUUGAAGAGAAUC
This 1044-nucleotide long non-coding RNA is filed under the name Macaca mulatta (Rhesus monkey). RNAcentral's name for it is "lncRNA (ENSMMUG00000045049.2)". Lineage: Eukaryota; Metazoa; Chordata; Mammalia; Primates; Cercopithecidae. The record is from RNAcentral.